GUCUACGGCCAUACCACCCUGAACUCCCCCGAUCUCGUCAGAUCUUGGAAGCUAAGCAGGGUCGGGCCUGGUUAGUACUUGGAUGGGAGAAAAUUCCUGUGGAGCAGGUGGUUGGACC
This is a ribosomal RNA of Ochotona princeps (American pika), 118 nucleotides long. NCBI's taxonomy places the organism in Eukaryota, Metazoa, Chordata, Mammalia, Lagomorpha, Ochotonidae. The record is from Ensembl.